UCCACGCAGUAAACGGUGAAUGUUAGUCGUCGGGGGCCUAGUGUCUUCGGUGAUGCAGCUAACGCAUUAAACAUUCCGCCUGGGGAGUACGGUCGCAAGAUUAAAACUCAAAGGAAUAGACGGGGACCCGCACAAGUGGUGGAGCAUGUGGUUUAAUUCGAAGAUACGCGAAGAACCUUACCUAGCCUUGACAUUGAAGAAACACACUAGAGAUAGAGUGGUGCCCUUCGGGG
RNAcentral lists this ribosomal RNA (233 nucleotides) under uncultured bacterium. RNAcentral's name for it is "partial 16S ribosomal RNA". It matches the Rfam family "Bacterial small subunit ribosomal RNA", at positions 794 to 1025 of the family's 1533-position model. The record is from RNAcentral.